UUUUUUCCUAGUAGGUGUGGAGUUUCCAGAAGAAACAAACAGAUCUCCUCAUUGCUUUUUAUAAGCAUAGAAUUACAAAGUUAGAAGCAGCCAUUCAGGAGGUACAGCAAACAGUGACCAGCCAGGACAAAGAGUUGUCAGUCUUGAGAAAAGAGAAUGAAGAACUGAAGAAAUUUCUAGCCUUCCUAAAGGAAUCUCCAAGUCGGUACCAAGGAAGCAGGUCAGUUUUAUCAGUGCGUGUACUGGCCCCCCAGCCUUG
This is a long non-coding RNA of Fukomys damarensis (Damara mole-rat), 259 nucleotides long. RefSeq lists it as uncharacterized. The transcript is spliced from 3 exons. NCBI's taxonomy places the organism in Eukaryota, Metazoa, Chordata, Mammalia, Rodentia, Bathyergidae. The record is from RefSeq and is a predicted model, not a curated record.